CAGCUAGAAGUCCGCUAACAACAACAGUGGCCUUUUACGUCUUGAAAAACGGGAUAAAAUGAUCACAAAAGUCAUUCAAUGUUGGAUUCAUCAUCACGGACAUGUUGUGCAAAGUCUCCGAAAAGACACUGGAGUUGCAGGCGGCACUUCAAAUCUUCUGAAAGGGCCACGGUCGCACGGAAGCCCUGCCUGGAACGGCGCACAUGUUACCUUCCCGUCAAAACAAACCGGAAUCCUGUGAAGAAGACUCUUGGAUGAAGGUGAAGCGUCUUCAAGAAACUACAACCAAGUCCAGUUGCUCCUGCUUCAACACCCUGGUGGAUAACUAUGACCUGAUGAAUGAGGAUCUCCCCAGACCAGUGUGGGCCCUGUAGACAAGACCAUUAAUGCUACCUGCCUACCUCUGAUUGCCAGUGAUCCUUGCUUCUCAAACAGUGGAGUGCACCUCGCAGCUGUCCCACGUCACCCCUCAUUCUCAUGAAUUUGGAUUGAUGUCGCCCACAGUUUGUCCCUGACCUUAGACCGCAGCAAUUUCCAGGCAAUCCGCUGACCAACUGGGGACUUUUGAUCCAAAUCGUAAAUGGCAGCUGCCAUAGCACACGGCCAGACAGACAGAUGGGUCGUCAUGGAUCAUAAUAUGCACAGGAUAUCAUAAAAAUCGAAGGCCGGGGCCUGAUUCAUGCACCGCGGGCCUAAAUGCAGAGUUGGGCUUCCUAAGGCUGAAUCGGGAUGCCAGCCUAGUUUAUGGUGACGGCGCAAAGAGGACGGUCAUCAAAGAAAGUUGAAGAUAUGACAACCGAGGAAGCCAACCGACCCGCAGCGCAGCUGACCUUGGCCUCAGACUCUUCUCCCCCUCCCCUUCGCUCUAGGACAGUGACUGCAUUCCCCACCACCACCAACUUUUGAUAGUUGGAUAAACUGACCGUUUCCCCUUCCAGAUGUUUCCACUUCAUUUCCUUCUCUUCCGGGUGCCAGCGGGGGUCGGCUGGACGGCCGACGGGGAGCCAGGAGCAAGGGGGUCAGUUGGACCACCAGGUCACGGCUUGACCAGAGCGCAUUCCGCCAUGCGUACCCCUUGCGGGGAAUGCCGGGGGGUUCAUUGCAACGAUGUCACCGCUUGGAGGGAGACGCGAGUGCAAGAGGACGGAGGAGGCAGACCCGACGCCAGCCCCGACCGGGGUCAGGGGACCUUUCAGCAACUGGGCCCGCCUCUCCAGCCUGCGCCUGGGGGGCCUCCAGCUGCCGCCUGCUCCCGCUGCAUCGCCAGGAACUCCCUCACAGAGCACGGCCACUGGCUGAAGCUGCUGUGGAUCCGUCCUGUGCCUGGCGGCGUUGUGCCGCGCGUUGGAUGCCAAUGUGGCAAACAUCUCCCAGCACACACAGCAGACAGCAGCCGCUCACAGAGGGCUGUCUCAUUGUUUUUUCCCAGGUCCGCCACGCCCCUCCCUCUGUGUUCUGGAUCAGCCAGACACGUGCACUGUUUGACCUCCAGUGGAACUGAAGAUCAACCCAGACUGACUGUUUUUUUGAGAAGUACUCAGGCUACUGUACCGUGAAUUUUCAUCAAAAUAAGACGGAUGCACAUUCUGCGUGGGUCACAUUGCCGAGAGGAAAAUCUCCCUCUAAACUGUAAGAGGGACUGGCCGUAUGCACACCAAAGAGAGAUGCUUCCAGCGUGUCAUCAGCAUUGCACAUCUGACAUCAUUCAGGAGCACGCGUGAGUAUAACUGGUAUAAUGUUUCAAAAGGAUGGUUUGCACAUGGGGCAGAAAAUAAAUACAAUAACGAUGAUAAUGAAUAUUUGUAAUCCUGCAUGAUGUACAUACUUAAAUCACAAGCUUUUUUUUUUGGUAUUAAACAUAUGAAUGGUUGCAGUGCUGGCAUCAAAAUCAGCACUGUACAUUUUCUACAGGGUGAACCUUCCCCUAACCCCUACCCUCAUUGAAAGUUGUGUUUCUCUGUAAUAUUGGGAGGUCGCGACCUCAUUACGUAAAGUGCCUUGAGAUAACGUAUGUAACGAUUUGGCGCCGUAACACUGAAUUGCAUUGAAUUGAAUCAUGUUUUGUGACUGCUGUCUGUGAAAGGUGCUAUAUAAAUAAAGAUUACUUAU
Scophthalmus maximus (turbot) is the source of this 2109-nucleotide RNA transcript. RefSeq lists it as uncharacterized. The record is from RefSeq and is a predicted model, not a curated record. Lineage: Eukaryota; Metazoa; Chordata; Actinopteri; Pleuronectiformes; Scophthalmidae. The transcript is spliced from 8 exons.